RNAcentral lists this ribosomal RNA (83 nucleotides) under Alistipes sp. An66. Lineage: Bacteria; Pseudomonadati; Bacteroidota; Bacteroidia; Bacteroidales; Rikenellaceae. The record is from RNAcentral.
UUAGGUGGUUAUAGCAGUGAGGUUCCACCUCUUCCCAUUCCGAACAGAGAAGUUAAGCUCACUAACGCCGAUGGUACUGCGGU